UGGGGAAUAUUGCACAAUGGGCGCAAGCCUGAUGCAGCAACGCCGCGUGAGGGACGACGGCCUUCGGGUUGUAAACCUCUUUUGGCAGGGAAGAAGCGAAAGUGACGGUACCUGCAGAAAAAGCACCGGCUAACUACGUGCCAGCAGCCGCGGUGAUACGUAGGGUGCAAGCGUUGUCCGGAAUUAUUGGGCGUAAAGAGCUCGUAGGCGGUUUGUCGCGUCUGCUGUGAAAACCCGAGGCUCAACCUCGGGCCUGCAGUGGGUACGGGCAAACUAGAGUGCGGUAGGGGAGAUUGGAAGUCCUGGUGUUGCGGUGGAAUGCGCAGAUAUCAGGAGGAACACCGAUGGCGAAGGCAGAUCUCUGGGCCGUAACUGACGCUGAGGAGCGAAAGCAUGGGGAGCGAACA
RNAcentral lists this ribosomal RNA (407 nucleotides) under uncultured bacterium. RNAcentral's name for it is "bacterial SSU rRNA". It matches the Rfam family "Bacterial small subunit ribosomal RNA", at positions 355 to 774 of the family's 1533-position model. The record is from RNAcentral.